UACGGAGGGACCAAGCGUUAUCCGGAAUCAUUGGGUUUAAAGGGUCCGUAGGCGGUUUUGUAAGUCAGUGGGGAAAGCCCAUCGCUCAACGGUGGAACGGCCAUUGAUACUGCAAGACUUGAAUUAUUAGGAAGUAACUAGAAUAUGUAGUGUAGCGGUGAAAUGCUUAGAUAUUACAUGGAAUACCAAUUGCGAAGGCAGGUUACUACUAAUUGAUUGACGCUGAUGGACGAAAGCGUGGGGAGCGAACAGG
RNAcentral lists this ribosomal RNA (253 nucleotides) under uncultured bacterium. RNAcentral's name for it is "partial 16S ribosomal RNA". It matches the Rfam family "Bacterial small subunit ribosomal RNA", at positions 524 to 776 of the family's 1533-position model. The record is from RNAcentral.